GACGAACGCUGGCGGCGUGCUUAACACAUGCAAGUCGAACGGAAAGGCCCUGCUUUUGUGGGGUGCUCGAGUGGCGAACGGGUGAGUAACACGUGAGUAACCUGCCCUUGACUUUGGGAUAACUUCAGGAAACUGGGGCUAAUACCGGAUAGGAGCUCCUGCUGCAUGGUGGGGGUUGGAAAGUUUCGGCGGUUGGGGAUGGACUCGCGGCUUAUCAGCUUGUUGGUGGGGUAGUGGCUUAUCAAGGCUUUGACGGGUAGCCGGCCUGAGAGGGUGACCGGCCACAUUGGGACUGAGAUACGGCCCAGACUCCUACGGGAGGCAGCAGUGGGGAAUAUUGCACAAUGGGCGGAAGCCUGAUGCAGCAACGCCGCGUGCGGGAUGACGGCCUUCGAGUUGUAAACCGCUUUCGCCUGUGACGAAGCGUGAGUGACGGUAAUGGGUAAAGAAGCACCGGCUAACUACGUGCCAGCAGCCGCGGUGAUACGUAGGGUGCGAGCGUUGUCCGGAUUUAUUGGGCGUAAAGGGCUCGUAGGUGGUUGAUCGCGUCGGAAGUGUAAUCUUGGGGCUUAACCCUGAGCGUGCUUUCGAUACGGGUUGACUUGAGGAAGGUAGGGGAGAAUGGAAUUCCUGGUGGAGCGGUGGAAUGCGCAGAUAUCAGGAGGAACACCAGUGGCGAAGGCGGUUCUCUGGGCCUUUCCUGACGCUGAGGAGCGAAAGCGUGGGGAGCGAACAGGCUUAGAUACCCUGGUAGUCCACGCUGUAAACGGUGGGUACUAGGUGUGGGGUCCAUUCCACGGGUUCCGUGCCGUAGCUAACGCUUUAAGUACCCCGCCUGGGGAGUACGGCCGCAAGGCUAAAACUCAAAGGAAUUGACGGGGCCCCGCACAAGCGGCGGAGCAUGCGGAUUAAUUCGAUGCAACGCGUAGAACCUUACCUGGGUUUGACAUGGAUCGGGAGUGCUCAGAGAUGGGUGUGCCUCUUUUGGGGUCGGUUCACAGGUGGUGCAUGGCUGUCGUCAGCUCGUGUCGUGAGAUGUUGGGUUAAGUCCCGCAACGAGCGCAACCCUUGUUCACUGUUGCCAGCACGUUAUGGUGGGGACUCAGUGGAGACCGCCGGGGUCAACUCGGAGGAAGGUGGGGAUGACGUCAAGUCAUCAUGCCCCUUAUGUCCAGGGCUUCACGCAUGCUACAAUGGCUGGUACAGAGAGUGGCGAGCCUGUGAGGGUGAGCGAAUCUCGGAAAGCCGGUCUCAGUUCGGAUUGGGGUCUGCAACUCGACCUCAUGAAGUCGGAGUCGCUAGUAAUCGCAGAUCAGCAACGCUGCGGUGAAUACGUUCCCGGG
Molecule: ribosomal RNA, 1343 nt
Filed under: uncultured bacterium
Lineage: Bacteria
Description: 16S ribosomal RNA
Rfam family: Bacterial small subunit ribosomal RNA
Source: RNAcentral